Molecule: ribosomal RNA, 492 nt
Filed under: uncultured bacterium
Lineage: Bacteria
Description: partial 16S ribosomal RNA
Rfam family: Bacterial small subunit ribosomal RNA
Source: RNAcentral
AGUGAACGCUGGCGGUAGGCCUAACACAUGCAAGUCGAACGGCAGCACAGUAAGAGCUUGCUCUUACGGGUGACGAGUGGCGGACGGGUGAGGAAUACAUCGGAAUCUACUUUUUCGUGGGGGAUAACGUAGGGAAACUUACGCUAAUACCGCAUACGACCUACGGGUGAAAGCAGGGGAUCUUCGGACCUUGCGCGAUUGAAUGAGCCGAUGUCGGAUUAGCUAGUUGGCGGGGUAAAGGCCCACCAAGGCGACGAUCCGUAGCUGGUCUGAGAGGAUGAUCAGCCACACUGGAACUGAGACACGGUCCAGACUCCUAAGGGAGGCAGCAGUGGGGAAUAUUGGACAAUGGGCGCAAGCCUGAUCCAGCCAUACCGCGUGGGUGAAGAAGGCCUUCGGGUUGUAAAGCCCUUUUGUUGGGAAAGAAAAGCAGCAGGUUAAUACCCCGCUGUUCUGACGGUACACAAAGAAUAAGCACCGGCUAACUUCGUG